Molecule: transfer RNA, 85 nt
Filed under: Felis catus (domestic cat)
Lineage: Eukaryota; Metazoa; Chordata; Mammalia; Carnivora; Felidae
Also listed under: 1 other name
Rfam family: tRNA
About the family: Transfer RNA (tRNA) molecules are approximately 80 nucleotides in length. Their secondary structure includes four short double-helical elements and three loops (D, anti-codon, and T loops). Further hydrogen bonds mediate the characteristic L-shaped molecular structure. tRNAs have two regions of fundamental functional importance: the anti-codon, which is responsible for specific mRNA codon recognition, and the 3' end, to which the tRNAs corresponding amino acid is attached (by aminoacyl-tRNA synthetases). tRNAs cope with the degeneracy of the genetic code in two manners: having more than one tRNA (with a specific anti-codon) for a particular amino acid; and 'wobble' base-pairing, i.e. permitting non-standard base-pairing at the 3rd anti-codon position.
Source: Rfam by way of RNAcentral
GCCUGGGUGGCUCAGUCGGUUAAGCAUCUGACUUCAACUCAGGUCAUGAUCCCAAGGUUUGUGAGUUCAAGACCCACCUAGGGUU